GCACUGCUGAUGAGUCCCACAAUAGAACGAAACGGUCGUCCAGUGC
Molecule: non-coding RNA, 46 nt
Organism: Schistosoma mansoni
Lineage: Eukaryota; Metazoa; Platyhelminthes; Trematoda; Strigeidida; Schistosomatidae
Source: Rfam